AAUAUGGAAGUUGAUUAAAUUGGUUUCUCUGAUUUUUUUCAAAUAUGAAGCCAAAGUCGAAGAAUAGUCAUGGCAAUGCGAAAAACAAUCAGGCCUUUGAUGUGAUAAAGAAGCCUAAGAAGAAGACCAUUUCUCCUUAUGACUUCACGGAGCUCUCGAAGGCGCUUUCCAUUGUUUUAAUAGCCAACUGAAGGUCAUGAGAUACAAAAAGGUGAAACCCUAGAAAACGUACAUACUAAUUGGUUGAUGUUCGAGGAAUCAAGAGGGAGGGAGCACUGCCGAUGAACCAUUUUGGUAUUUUUUUCGGCGGCACUUAAUAAGCCGUUGAAGAGAAAAAAGAGUUUUCAGACUCCUGAUUAAACUUCCCGGGGAGUACGUUUGGCUAUGAUUUCUAUGGUUCUCUGUUGCUUCUGCUUGAAUGGGAUACAACGGCUUUGUGCUAAUUGUUGUUUAUUUUACUAAAACCUUGUUAGAUUAUCAAAAGCUUUUUGAAAC
This 495-nucleotide long non-coding RNA is filed under the name Manihot esculenta (cassava). RNAcentral's name for it is "long non-coding RNA (MESC_LNC000694)". The record is from RNAcentral. Lineage: Eukaryota; Viridiplantae; Streptophyta; Magnoliopsida; Malpighiales; Euphorbiaceae.